GUCUUUUUGUAUUAUAAUUUAAAGUCUUGCCUGCCCMCUGAAUAUUUGAAUGGCCGCGGUAUUUUGACCGUGCAAAGGUAGCAUAAUCAUUAGUUUUUUAAUUGAAAGCUGGAAUGAAUGGUAGCAUAAGAGAAAAUCUGUCUCAAAUUAAUUUUUUUAAAAUUUUAUUUUUAAGUAAAAAAGCUUAAAUUUUUUUAAAAGACGAGAAGACCCUAUAGAGUUUAAUAAAAAUUAUAAGUAUUUUAAAAAUGAUUAUUUUUUUAUUUAUAAAAUUUAUUUUAUUGGGGUGAUAGAAAAAUUAAAUAAACUUUUUUUAUAAAAAAACAUUAAUUUAUGAAUUAAUGAUCCAAAAAUUUUGAUUAAAAGAAUAAAUUACCUUAGGGAUAACAGCGUAAUUUUUUCAGAGAGUUCUAAUCGAAGAAAAAGAUUGCGACCUCGAUGUUGGAUUAAAAUUAAUUAUUGGUGUAGAAGCUAAUUUAUUAGGUCUGUUCGACCUUUAAAAUUUUACA
This 509-nucleotide ribosomal RNA is filed under the name Epopterus testudinarius. RNAcentral's name for it is "partial 16S ribosomal RNA". The stretch from base 383 to 509 matches the Rfam family "Archaeal large subunit ribosomal RNA", at positions 2544 to 2671 of the family's 2987-position model. Lineage: Eukaryota; Metazoa; Arthropoda; Insecta; Coleoptera; Endomychidae. The record is from RNAcentral.